This 307-nucleotide long non-coding RNA is filed under the name Elaeis guineensis (African oil palm). Its description in RNAcentral is "long non-coding RNA (EGUI_LNC044548)". Lineage: Eukaryota; Viridiplantae; Streptophyta; Magnoliopsida; Arecales; Arecaceae. The record is from RNAcentral.
AUCUUCUGUCUUUCAGUUAAAUUCUUCUCAGAUUGGAAGCUACGCUCAGUCAAAAUCUUAUCCAAAUGAAAAUUUUUAAGUUGAUCAGCCCAUUUCACAGUCUAGACAAAGAAAUUUUGGUGUGAUUGCUAGAGACACUAUCUCCUUAAUAGUGAGGCAUCAUUUUGUAGAUUUCAAAAAAUUAUCCAAUCUAAAAAAAAGGAUCAUCAAAAUUAGACAUCAAAUGAUCAAGUUACAGUCUUCGAAGGUUUAGCUUGCAACUUGACUUCCAGAUAUGGUGCAUCUUACUCCUAGACCCAAUCCAGCC